Non-coding RNA from Picea glauca (white spruce), 120 nucleotides. The record is from Rfam. Lineage: Eukaryota; Viridiplantae; Streptophyta; Pinopsida; Pinales; Pinaceae.
ACAUGCCUACAACAUAGUGUUAAUUCACCUGAUCCCAUUAGAGUUUCGAAGUUAAGCGCACUCAGACUAGAGUAGUACUGGGAAGGGUGACUACUUGGGAAGUCCUAGUGUUGGCCCUUG